UCCGGGUAUUUUCGGGUUCGG
RNAcentral lists this non-coding RNA (21 nucleotides) under Arabidopsis thaliana (thale cress). Lineage: Eukaryota; Viridiplantae; Streptophyta; Magnoliopsida; Brassicales; Brassicaceae. The record is from RNAcentral.